UACGUAGGGUGCAAGCGUUGUCCGGAAUUAUUGGGCGUAAAGAGCUCGUAGGCGGUUUGUCGCGUCGAAUGUGAAAACCCGGGGCUCAACCCCGGGCCUGCAUUCGAUACGGGCAGACUAGAGUUCGGUAGGGGAGUCUGGAAUUCCUGGUGUAGCGGUGAAAUGCGCAGAUAUCAGGAGGAACACCGAUGGCGAAGGCAGGUCACUGGGCCGCAACUGACGCUGAGGAGCGAAAGCAUGGGGAGCGAACAGG
RNAcentral lists this ribosomal RNA (253 nucleotides) under uncultured bacterium. RNAcentral describes it as "partial 16S ribosomal RNA". It matches the Rfam family "Bacterial small subunit ribosomal RNA", at positions 524 to 776 of the family's 1533-position model. The record is from RNAcentral.